GGAAGAAGAAGAAGAAGAAUUUCGUGGUUUGAGGUUGAAGAUGAUAGGAAAAAGUUCAUGCAAAACCAGCCAUUGCAGAAUCUGGGUGCAACUGUCAACCUCUGGUUGUUUUGUUUGGUUUGAGCUAUCUAGAAGGAACUAAGAGAACACAGGAUUUUCGAGCAAACCAGGUGGAUUUCUGGUGUUCUCUGAUCCUUUGAGUAUUCUGGAAGUACACAAGUCGAAUCAGAAGCUCUAUUGGACCAAGAGGAAAUAGGCCGAGUCUACAAACCAGGGAACUAGAUAAGAUUGUUAUAUUUCCGUUGUCGACGUUGAGUGUACUCCGUGACAACGAUGCUUUCGUUAGUGCUGGGUGGGCCCCACUACGACAAAGACGAUGGGAGUGCCAAGCGGGCUCCACUACAUCGUAGGACGAGUAAACAUUGGUUGUAUUGGGCGUAUCCUACACCACGUCGAUCGGUCAUGUAGAGAUUGAGCUCCUGGUGCCUGAUACACUGCCAACGUCUGCUGAAAGUUCAGAAUCAAACUCCAGUACGUGGUUGGAGUUGUAUUUUGAGUCUGUUCAUGUUGAAAUGUUUUGUAAGGUUUAAAUAAUAUCGUCUUGGAGGUCGUGAUCAUAAAACUCUAGUUGUAUAGGUUUUGGUCGUGAUGUUUAUAUCAGGUUAUUUUACAAACCAAGUGAUGUCAGGGCUGCAUCUUAUGUAUGUUGGGAAGGUUUUUGUGGUUUCCUCUAUGUGGUGUUCCAUGUUGAAUAUUCUAUAUCUAAGAUUGGUAUGUUUAUAGGGCUUAACAUUCAGUAGGGUCAGCAGGGAUCGUUAAAGGAGACGAUGUCUGUUGGCUUCACGCCGUCUUUCGAGCUAAGACAGUAGGUGGUC
Cucumis melo (muskmelon) is the source of this 875-nucleotide long non-coding RNA. RefSeq lists it as uncharacterized. The transcript is spliced from 5 exons. The record is from RefSeq and is a predicted model, not a curated record. NCBI's taxonomy places the organism in Eukaryota, Viridiplantae, Streptophyta, Magnoliopsida, Cucurbitales, Cucurbitaceae.